UACAGAGGGUGCAAGCGUUGCUCGGAAUCAUUGGGCGUAAAGGGCAAGUAGGUGGUCUCGUUUGUCUGAGGUGAAAUCCCUGGGCUUAACCUAGGAACUGCCUCAGAAACGGCGAGACUGGAGUACUGGAGAGGGUCGCGGAAUUCCCGGUGUAGCGGUGAAAUGCGUAGAGAUCGGAAAGAACACCAGUGGCGAAGGCGACUCCCUGGCACCAUACUGACGCUGAGGCACGAAAGCGUGGGGAUCAAACAGGAUUAGAAACCCGUGUAGU
This 271-nucleotide ribosomal RNA is filed under the name uncultured bacterium. Its description in RNAcentral is "partial 16S ribosomal RNA". It matches the Rfam family "Bacterial small subunit ribosomal RNA", at positions 524 to 794 of the family's 1533-position model. The record is from RNAcentral.